This 259-nucleotide ribosomal RNA is filed under the name uncultured prokaryote. RNAcentral's name for it is "partial 16S ribosomal RNA". It matches the Rfam family "Bacterial small subunit ribosomal RNA", at positions 524 to 782 of the family's 1533-position model. The record is from RNAcentral.
UACGUAGGUGGCAAGCGUUGUCCGGAUUUAUUGGGCGUAAAGCGAGCGCAGGCGGUUCCUUAAGUCUGAUGUGAAAGCCCACGGCUCAACCGUGGAAGGUCAUUGGAAACUGGGGAACUUGAGUGCAGAAGAGGAGAGUGGAAUUCCAUGCGUAGCGGUGAAAUGCGUAGAUAUAUGGAGGAACACCAGUGGCGAAGGCGACUCUCUGGUCUGUAACUGACGCUGAGGCUCGAAAGCGUGGGGAGCAAACAGGAUUAGA